This 652-nucleotide ribosomal RNA is filed under the name uncultured bacterium. Its description in RNAcentral is "bacterial SSU rRNA". It matches the Rfam family "Bacterial small subunit ribosomal RNA", at positions 1 to 650 of the family's 1533-position model. The record is from RNAcentral.
CCCUUAGAGUUUGAUCCUGGCUCAGAUUGAACGCUGGCGGCAUGCCUUACACAUGCAAGUCGAACGGCAGCACGGGAGCAAUCCUGGUGGCGAGUGGCGAACGGGUGAGUAAUAUAUCGGAACGUGCCCAGUCGUGGGGGAUAACGUAGCGAAAGCUACGCUAAUACCGCAUACGAUCUACGGAUGAAAGCGGGGGAUCGCAAGACCUCGCGCGAUUGGAGCGGCCGAUAUCAGAUUAGCUAGUUGGUGGGGUAAAAGCCCACCAAGGCGACGAUCUGUAGCUGGUCUGAGAGGACGACCAGCCACACUGGGACUGAGACACGGCCCAGACUCCUACGGGAGGCAGCAGUGGGGAAUUUUGGACAAUGGGCAAAAGCCUGAUCCAGCAAUGCCGCGUGCAGGACGAAGGCCUUCGGGUUGUAAACUGCUUUUGUACGGAACGAAACGGUCUCUUCUAAUACAGGGGGCUAAUGACGGUACCGUAAGAAUAAGCACCGGCUAACUACGUGCCAGCAGCCGCGGUAAUACGUAGGGUGCAAGCGUUAAUCGGAAUUACUGGGCGUAAAGCGUGCGCAGGCGGUUCGUUGUGUCCGGUGUGAAAGCCCCGAGCUUAACUUGGGAAUGGCAUUGGAAACUGGCGAGCUGGAGUGUG